RNAcentral lists this ribosomal RNA (433 nucleotides) under uncultured bacterium. RNAcentral's name for it is "partial 16S ribosomal RNA". It matches the Rfam family "Bacterial small subunit ribosomal RNA", at positions 29 to 507 of the family's 1533-position model. The record is from RNAcentral.
AACGAACGCUGGCGGCAUGCCUAACACAUGCAAGUCAAACGAAACCUUCGGGUCUAGUGGCGAACGGGUGCGUAACGCGGGGGAACCUGCCCUUAGGUUCGGAAUAACUCCCCGAAAGGGGUGCUAAUACCGGUAAAUUUCUUCGGACCAAAGAUUUAUCGCCUUUGGAUGGGCCCGCGUUGGAUUAGCUAGUUGGUAGGGUAAAAGCCUACCAAGGCGACGAUCCAUAGCUGGUCUGAGAGGAUGAUCAGCCACACUGGGACUGAGACACGGCCCAGACUCCUACGGGAGGCAGCAGUGGGGAAUAUUGGACAAUGGGCGAAAGCCUGAUCCAGCAAUGCCGCGUGAGUGAUGAAGGCCUUAGGGUUGUAAAGCUCUUUUACCCGGGAUGAUAAUGACAGUACCGGGAGAAUAAGCUCCGGCUAACUCCGUG